UCCAGCUGUCCUCCCUGGCAUUCAGUUUCCCCUAGUAGAGGCUAUCUUGUUGCAGUAAAUUAGCGUUAACUGGGAGGAGGCGGCCACUCAUACAGACUGACUUUACUUGGCUUUGGCAGCUCCAAGCAGGAACAAAGCUGAUAUCCAUUCCACAAGCAAGGAGGAAAAACAGGCUCACACUUUCUUAAAGAUCUCUCAAACUUCCCACAUCUGAAGACUAGGAUGGCCAGUUGCGGGUCGUGUUUCUGGAGCAUUGUGUGGCUGGUGAUUUUACUGAUCAUAGGCUGGCCACUCAGUAUCUUACUGGGGGGGCUCUACGGCCUCAUCACCCCCCUUACCACCUGCGUGGGCCUGGACCGCUUGUCAGACCUGCUCCUGGAGGGGGCCAACCUGGGUCGGACCUGCGCCCAGAACAUGAAACAUGGCAAGGCAGUGUGCUGAGACCAGACCAGGUCCUGGUCCUGACUGCUGCUUCUGGUCCUGUCACCGUGGAAACAGACAAACGUUUCCUGCACAGAGGAAGAGUAACUGUUACUGUUCAUGCCGAAGGCCAUUGUGUUAUUGUUCGUCUUGUCACGUUAUUGAGGUAUUAAUAUUUAAAAGUCCAAAGCCAAAACACAAGGUAAACUUUUAACAAAAUGAUUAUGCUCGCUCUAUCAAUGUGUCAUUAACAGUGGAUGUUCUUUUUUGUUUGAGUUUGUCUACUCUACAACUUGAAAUACAGAUACUUAGUAUUCAUAGACUGUAUUUGCUGUUUUUAAUUCAUGAUGACAUCCUGCAAAGGGCAGAUAAUGUUCAACAGCUUAACUUUAACAAUAGAGCAGUUAUGGAUUUAAACUUAUAACGUGAUUAAAUUCUUUUGAACUUGCCUUA
Molecule: long non-coding RNA, 873 nt
Organism: Coregonus clupeaformis (lake whitefish)
Lineage: Eukaryota; Metazoa; Chordata; Actinopteri; Salmoniformes; Salmonidae
Exons: 2
Source: RefSeq, a predicted model, not a curated record